Molecule: long non-coding RNA, 641 nt
Organism: Epinephelus moara (kelp grouper)
Lineage: Eukaryota; Metazoa; Chordata; Actinopteri; Perciformes; Serranidae
Exons: 3
Source: RefSeq, a predicted model, not a curated record
CAGCGACAAGCAAGGAAGGAAGGAAGCACCCUCAAAUUCUGUCUAAACUUUCUGACUGUAUAUAUAUAUAUAUAUAUAUAUAUGUACACACACACAACAACAGCAUUCAAAGCCAGAUGGUGGAGCUAGAAAUAAGAAGGAAACUGAAAUCAUCCUCUGGAGAACAUGAACAUCCACAGACAAUUUUGUGUCUAUCUGCUCUUCCAGGAGACAGCAUGGCAGCAUUGUGGCAAAGAAAACUCUCUGAUCCGACCCUGGCUGCUGUGAUCCAAACAAAAGCGCUGACUGCGGCUCACUGAUGCGGCCUUAGUGGCUCCCUGGGAUGUCAGAAUGAAAAAUCAAACUGAACAGAAAAUAAGCUCUGUGUGUUUAAAAAUUGAACUUAAUAGUCGGAUCGAACAGGAAUUGAGCUGAGUCGCAAAAAAAUGUCUGAUAAUUGAUGUUUUCUGUUUUCACUGGUUGGAUUCCUGCGACUCUAUCUGACCCAAACCACAGCUUCAGGCUUUUAUUAUAAAUCAGCUUUUGACUUUUCAAACCCAAUCUCCAUGAAAAUUACACAGUUAGCUUUCUCAGAUUCUACUGAAUAAUGAGAAAUGCCUGGCAGAACUAAUCUUUCCCUUUAAUGUGCGCAUAUGUCUCUG